CUCUGAAAAGCAGCCCAGAAUUUGGAAGCUGGAAGGAACUUUAGAUCGUCCAUUCUGGGUGUCUCUCUUCGUUGGCGUUUUCCCACUGAGGUUAUGUAAACAUGAAGAGGAGCCUACAAGUGUCAAGGAAAAAACGACAGCUAACCACAGGGCAGGCCAUGGCCAAGAUAGCUCAGUGUUCUCCGCUCUCAUAGGUCAGGUGAGACUCACUUAGGCUGGACUGCAAUGGUGCAAUCUCGGCUCACUGCAACCUCCGCCUCUCGGGUUCAAGCCAUUCUCCUGCCUCAGCCUUCCGAAUCGCUGGGAUUACAGGUCACAACCCCCAGGAGACCUGGAGAACUGAAUGCUGCUGCCCCCAAGGAGGAGGCUGCUGUCUUAUCCCAGGAGGGAGAGCAGGAAAAUAAAAAGGUUCAAAAGGAAGUUGCUGCGUAUCCAUCUGAGGCCUCUGAGGACAGCAAAGAGCAAAGGCCCUGGGAGCGGGUCUCCGUACCCAUGACAGAGCUCUGGCUGGACUGGUUCUCAGCCUCUAACACCCCCAACACUCAGAACCGUGAAGAAAAACUUUCC
Molecule: non-coding RNA, 567 nt
Filed under: Pongo abelii (Sumatran orangutan)
Lineage: Eukaryota; Metazoa; Chordata; Mammalia; Primates; Hominidae
Source: RNAcentral